AGGAGUAGGAUGUUAUAGGAGAAGGAUGUUAUAGGAGUAGGAUGUUGUAGGAUAAGGAUGUUAUAGCAGUAGGAUGUUAUAGGAGUAUGAUGUUAUAGGCGAAGGAUGUUAUAGGGCCAGGUGUUAUAGGAGAAGGAUGUUAUAGGGCCAGGUGUUAUAGGAGAAGGAUGUUAUAGGGCCAGGUGUUAUAGGAGUAUGAUGUUAUAGGGCCAGGUGUUAUAGGAGUAAGAUGUUACAGGAGAAGGAUGUUCGAGGAGAAGGAUGUUCUAGGGCCAGGUGUUAUAGGAGUAGGAUGUUAUAGCAGUAUGAUGUUAUAGGAGUAGGAUGUUAUAGGACCAG
Molecule: long non-coding RNA, 339 nt
Filed under: Salmo salar (Atlantic salmon)
Lineage: Eukaryota; Metazoa; Chordata; Actinopteri; Salmoniformes; Salmonidae
Description: lncRNA (ENSSSAG00000098440.1)
Source: RNAcentral